Molecule: ribosomal RNA, 490 nt
Filed under: uncultured bacterium
Lineage: Bacteria
Description: bacterial SSU rRNA
Rfam family: Bacterial small subunit ribosomal RNA
Source: RNAcentral
AGAGUUUGAUUAUGGCUCAGGACGAGCGCUGGCGGCGUGCUUAACACAUGCAAGUCGAGCGGAGAAUAUAGCAAUAUAUUCUUAGCGGCGGACGGGUGAGUAACGCGUGGGUAACCUGCCUUUUACUGGGGGAUAACACUGGGAAACUAGUGCUAAUACCGCAUAAAUAGUGAAGUGGCAUCACUUUACUAUCAAAGGAGCAAUCCGGUAAAAGAUGGACCCGCGUCCGAUUAGCUAGUUGGAGGGUAACGGCCCACCAAGGCGACGAUCGGUAGCCGAACUGAGAGGUUGAUCGGCCACAUUGGGACUGAGACACGGCCCAGACUCCUACGGGAGGCAGCAGUGGGGAAUAUUGCGCAAAUGGGGGAAACCCUGACGCAGCAACGCCGCGUGAAGGAUGAAGGUUUUCGGAUUGUAAACUUCUUUGAUUGGGGACGAUAAUGACGGUACCCAAAAAACAAGCCACGGCUAACUACGUGCCAGCAGCGGC